AGUAAAAAGAAGAAGAAGAAGUGAAAGA
RNAcentral lists this small RNA (28 nucleotides) under Arabidopsis thaliana (thale cress). RNAcentral's name for it is "ATSL145190". Lineage: Eukaryota; Viridiplantae; Streptophyta; Magnoliopsida; Brassicales; Brassicaceae. The record is from RNAcentral.